AUUGAACGCUGGCGGCAGGCCUAACACAUGCAAGUCGAGCGAGCGGCGGACGGGUGAGUAAUGUCUGGGACACUGCCCGAUGGCGGGGGAUAACUACUGGAAACGGUAGCUAAUACCGCAUACCAUCAGAUGUGCCCAUAUGGGGUUAGCUAGUAGGUGGGGUAAGGGCUCACCUAGGCGACGAUCCCUAGCUGGUCUGAGCGGAUGACCAGCCACACGGGGACUGAGACACGGUCCAGACUCCUACGGGAGGCAGCAGUGGGGAAUAUUGCACAAUGGGCGCAAGCCUGAGGCAGCCAUGCCGCGUGUAUGAAGAAGGCCGUCGGGUUGUAAAGCACUGUCAGCGGGGAGGCGUUACCCGCAGAAGAAGCACCGGCUAACUCCGUGCCAGCAGCCGCGGUAAUAC
This 406-nucleotide ribosomal RNA is filed under the name uncultured bacterium. Its description in RNAcentral is "partial 16S ribosomal RNA". It matches the Rfam family "Bacterial small subunit ribosomal RNA", at positions 29 to 526 of the family's 1533-position model. The record is from RNAcentral.